UACGUAGGGUGCAAGCGUUGUCCGGAAUUAUUGGGCGUAAAGAGCUCGUAGGCGGUCUGUCGCGUCGGCUGUGAAAACUCGGGGCUCAACUCCGAGCCUGCAGUCGAUACGGGCAGACUAGAGUGCUGUAGGGGAGACUGGAAUUCCUGGUGUAGCGGUGAAAUGCGCAGAUAUCAGGAAGAACACCCGUGGCGAAGGCGGUUCUCUGGGACGGUACUGACGCUGAGACGCGAAAGCGUGGGGAGCGAACAGG
RNAcentral lists this ribosomal RNA (253 nucleotides) under uncultured bacterium. RNAcentral's name for it is "partial 16S ribosomal RNA". It matches the Rfam family "Bacterial small subunit ribosomal RNA", at positions 524 to 776 of the family's 1533-position model. The record is from RNAcentral.